GCCCUGGUGGUGUAGUCCGGUCAAUCAUUCCGCCCUCUCGAGGCGGAGACCCGGGUUCAAAUCCCGGCCGGGGCA
Molecule: transfer RNA, 75 nt
Filed under: Candidatus Woesearchaeota archaeon
Lineage: Archaea; Nanobdellati; Candidatus Woesearchaeota
Description: tRNA-Glu
Rfam family: tRNA
About the family: Transfer RNA (tRNA) molecules are approximately 80 nucleotides in length. Their secondary structure includes four short double-helical elements and three loops (D, anti-codon, and T loops). Further hydrogen bonds mediate the characteristic L-shaped molecular structure. tRNAs have two regions of fundamental functional importance: the anti-codon, which is responsible for specific mRNA codon recognition, and the 3' end, to which the tRNAs corresponding amino acid is attached (by aminoacyl-tRNA synthetases). tRNAs cope with the degeneracy of the genetic code in two manners: having more than one tRNA (with a specific anti-codon) for a particular amino acid; and 'wobble' base-pairing, i.e. permitting non-standard base-pairing at the 3rd anti-codon position.
Source: RNAcentral